RNAcentral lists this transfer RNA (69 nucleotides) under Apaloderma vittatum (bar-tailed trogon). It matches the Rfam family "tRNA". Rfam says of the family: Transfer RNA (tRNA) molecules are approximately 80 nucleotides in length. Their secondary structure includes four short double-helical elements and three loops (D, anti-codon, and T loops). Further hydrogen bonds mediate the characteristic L-shaped molecular structure. tRNAs have two regions of fundamental functional importance: the anti-codon, which is responsible for specific mRNA codon recognition, and the 3' end, to which the tRNAs corresponding amino acid is attached (by aminoacyl-tRNA synthetases). tRNAs cope with the degeneracy of the genetic code in two manners: having more than one tRNA (with a specific anti-codon) for a particular amino acid; and 'wobble' base-pairing, i.e. permitting non-standard base-pairing at the 3rd anti-codon position. The record is from Rfam by way of RNAcentral. Lineage: Eukaryota; Metazoa; Chordata; Aves; Trogoniformes; Trogonidae.
GGCCAGUUAGCUCAGUUGAACGUAGCGCUAACAAUGCUAAGGUCGUGGGUUCGAUUCCCGUUCGGUCCC